Molecule: ribosomal RNA, 579 nt
Filed under: uncultured bacterium
Lineage: Bacteria
Description: bacterial SSU rRNA
Rfam family: Bacterial small subunit ribosomal RNA
Source: RNAcentral
CCUACGGGAGGCAGCAGUAAGGAAUAUUGGUCAAUGGACGAAAGUCUGAACCAGCCAUGCCGCGUGAAGGAUGAAGGCCCUCUGGGUUGUAAACUUCUUUUAUCUGGGACGAAAAAAGGGAAUUCUUUCCCACUUGACGGUACCAGAGGAAUAAGCACCGGCUAACUCCGUGCCAGCAGCCGCGGUAAUACGGAGGGUGCAAGCGUUAUCCGGAUUUACUGGGUUUAAAGGGUGCGUAGGUGGGUAGGUAAGUCAGUGGUGAAAUCUCCGAGCUUAACUCGGAAACUGCCAUUGAUACUAUCUAUCUUGAAUAUCCUGGAGGUGAGCGGAAUAUGUCAUGUAGCGGUGAAAUGCUUAGAUAUGACAUAGAACACCAAUUGCGAAGGCAGCUCACUACGGGAUUAUUGACACUGAGGCACGAAAGCGUGGGGAUCAAACAGGAUUAGAUACCCUGGUAGUCCACGCCCUAAACGAUGGAUACUCGACAUACGCGAUACACUGUGUGUGUCUGAGCGAAAGCAUUAAGUAUCCCACCUGGGAAGUACGAUCGCAAGAUUGAAACUCAAAGGAAAUUGACGG